CCCUUAGAUGUUCUGGGCGGCCCGCGCACUACAAUGGCGCUUUCAGCGAGUUCCUAUGUUGAAUUUUCCUGGGUAUUCUUGGAAGCGGCGUCUUGACUUGGGAUAGAUCCUUGUAAUUGUUGGCUUUGAACGAGGAAUUCCUUGUAAUCGCGGUUGAUCAGCUCGCGUUGAAUACGUCCCUGCCCUUUGUACACACCGCCCGUCGCUCCUACCGAUGAAUCGUCCGGUGAAGUUCACAGAGUGGCGGUUCGUGGAGUUGCUCGCGAAGUGAAAUGGACCUCACGAUUUAGAGGAAGGAGAAGUCGUAACA
This 310-nucleotide ribosomal RNA is filed under the name uncultured eukaryote. RNAcentral's name for it is "partial 18S ribosomal RNA". It matches the Rfam family "Eukaryotic small subunit ribosomal RNA", at positions 1470 to 1796 of the family's 1831-position model. The record is from RNAcentral.